AGUUUUGUAUUCAAAAAUGAUUUUAAAUUGCAAAUUUAAAGGUGAUGUUUAAAUCCAAAACUU
This 63-nucleotide transfer RNA is filed under the name Pygoluciola qingyu. RNAcentral's name for it is "tRNA-Cys". Lineage: Eukaryota; Metazoa; Arthropoda; Insecta; Coleoptera; Lampyridae. RNAcentral also lists the same sequence under 2 other names. The record is from RNAcentral.